GAACGCUGGCGGUAUGCUUAACACAUGCAAGUCGAACGAAUUAAUCUAGCUUGCUAGAUUAGUUAGUGGCAAACGGGUGAGUAACACGUGGGAAUCUACCCAGUAGUACGGAAUAACAGUCGGAAACAGCUGCUAAUACCGUAUAGUAUCGAGAGAUUAAAGAUUUAUCGCUACUGGAUGAGCCCGCGUCAGAUUAGGUAGUUGGUGGGGUAAUGGCCUACCAAGCCGAAGAUCUGUAGCUGGUCUGAGAGGAUGAUCAGCCACACUGGAACUGAGACACGGUCCAGACUCCUACGGGAGGCAGCAGUGAGGAAUAUUGGACAAUGGGCGAAAGCCUGAUCCAGCAAUACCGCGUGAGUGAAGAAGGC
Molecule: ribosomal RNA, 368 nt
Filed under: uncultured bacterium
Lineage: Bacteria
Description: bacterial SSU rRNA
Rfam family: Bacterial small subunit ribosomal RNA
Source: RNAcentral